Molecule: long non-coding RNA, 280 nt
Organism: Corticium candelabrum
Lineage: Eukaryota; Metazoa; Porifera; Homoscleromorpha; Homosclerophorida; Plakinidae
Exons: 3
Source: RefSeq, a predicted model, not a curated record
AGGAUGGACAGACAGCUCUACACGUUGCUGAUAAUGUUGAGGUUGUUGAUUAUUUGUUGAGCAUUGGUCUCAACACUGAAGAUCGUGAUAAGGCUGGCUACACACCAUUUCUCAGGGCAUGUCGUAAUGGUCACUUAUUGAAAGUACAACGUCUCAUUCGAUCAAAGUGCAACAAAGCAGCAACAACUACUAAUGGAUCAACUGCAUUACAUCUGAUCUGUUCAGCCAGUUUUCUUACUUAUGACCAUUUAUCAAUUGUGAAGCUGUUAACAUCUUUCUC